UUGUAUACAACUUAAAUGUGCGCCAAUGGUUGAGAUUUAUCCGUGUACACUCCUCGUCAAUUGACUAUUCAUUCCUCCCCUCUCUCCCCCUAGCUGAACUAGAACCCCCUCUCUCUCCUGGCUGAACCAGGUGCCUUAAACCCUAAUCUCUCUCUCUCCUGGCAGAACCAAAUCACAAAGACCCUCUUCCUCUCUCUGUCAAAAAACUUAUUGGGUCCAAAAAUAAUUUUUUAACAAAUCCAAUACCUGGCUAAAUGCCAACAACUUCUUGUGAUGGAGGUUAGAGAGAGAAAGAGGGUCUCUAUGAUGAAGAUGUGCGAAAGAGAGCUGCAAGGGCCUACUGUGAUGGAGAUUAGAGAGAGAGAGGGGGCCUCUGCGCUGAAGACGAAAGAGAGAGGGUUGCAACAGGCCUUCUGAUGGAGAUUAGAGAGAGAGAGAGGAGGGGGGCUCCAUAUUGAAGAUGAGAGGGAGAGAGAUGGUUGCAACGGCCUGCUAUAAUGGAGGUUAGAGAGAGAACCUCUACACUAAAGACGAGAGGGUGAGAGAGGGCUGCAAUGCUUGCUGUGAUGGAGAUUGAAGAGAGAGGGCCUCUACGAUGAAGACUAGAGAGAGAUAGAGGGUUGCUAUGG
RNAcentral lists this long non-coding RNA (629 nucleotides) under Amborella trichopoda. RNAcentral describes it as "long non-coding RNA (ATRI_LNC003018)". Lineage: Eukaryota; Viridiplantae; Streptophyta; Magnoliopsida; Amborellales; Amborellaceae. The record is from RNAcentral.